RNAcentral lists this ribosomal RNA (474 nucleotides) under uncultured bacterium. RNAcentral's name for it is "SSU rRNA". It matches the Rfam family "Bacterial small subunit ribosomal RNA", at positions 26 to 518 of the family's 1533-position model. The record is from RNAcentral.
AGGACGAACGCUGGCGGCGUGCUUAACACAUGCAAGUCGAGCGGAAAGGCCCUUCGGGGUACUCGAGCGGCGAACGGGUGAGUAACACGUGAGCAACCUGCCCUUAGCUCCGGGAUAGCUCCGGGAAACCGGAAUUAAUACCGGAUAUGACCUAGGCCGACAUCGGCUGUGGUGGAAAGUUUUUCGGCUGGGGAUGGACUCGCGGCCUAUCAGCUUGUUGGUGGGGUAAUGGCCUACCAAGGCGACGACGGGUAGCCGGCCUGAGAGGGCGACCGGCCACACUGGGACUGAGACACGGCCCAGACUCCUACGGGAGGCAGCAGUGGGGAAUCUUGCGCAAUGGGCGAAAGCCUGACGCAGCGACGCCGCGUGGGGAUGAAGGCCUUCGGGUUGUAAACCCCUUUCAGCAGGGACGAAGCGAAAGUGACGGUACCUGCAGAAGAAGCGCCGGCUAACUACGUGCCAGCACGCCGC